This is a non-coding RNA of Cricetulus griseus (Chinese hamster), 1491 nucleotides long. Lineage: Eukaryota; Metazoa; Chordata; Mammalia; Rodentia; Cricetidae. The record is from RefSeq and is a predicted model, not a curated record.
AGCUUACAUCGCAGUGGACAGAUCAGUGGAUAACCUAGCAAAUCAACAGAAUGACCCAUGCACAAGUGGGAUAAAUAGAAAACAAAUGAUGCAGGUGCUGUUCAAGAAUUUCAUUUAUUUCCAUUGAGAACGGACCUGAGCUGAGAUAUUUGAUAUCUACAGAUGCAAAAACUUGACUGAGACUGAAGAGGACACCUCAGAUUGGAAAUUUGUUAUGCUCUGUGUGUACUGGGAGAAAGCCACAGUUAAGAGACAUCUCAAGAAAGGACUCGACAUCUGAAUCUGUGUGUGGUGACACAUAGCUGUAAUCCAGAAUUUUGGAGUUGGAGACAGGAAGAUGAGAAGAUAAAGCCCUGCUAUUAUUGUUACACCUAAAUGUUCCUGUUUUUCAUGAAGCAGUAAGGGAACUCCAAAAUCUAGGUACCAGCCAGAAUUCUGUUAGGUAGCUGCUGCCUGGACCAACAGCUUCCCUACUCCAAUAUGUAAGGAAACACAUUUGUGCUGCCCCAUCGGCCCUGGGAUCUACGGAGUUCUACUGAAGUGCAAGGCAACCGUGAGUCAGCAAUGUGGACUGCUAAAAUAGUAACUGGCCCGAUGAUGUUGUAAUAUGAAGUAUGAAGUAUGAAAGAGGAAGGAGGAGGAAGAAUAAAACAAGAAAAUCCCCAGGGCAUCCACCCUCACCUCUCACUCAUACUGGAAGAUUUGAUCAAGAAUGUGGAAUACAUAGCUACAUUUAACUUUCAGUUUAAAAAGCCAUGCAAUAUUAUUAAUAACCAGAGGCAUGUUAAUGCUCCUGCCAUUCUCAUAUCCUCCAUGAAGAUGACCUGGGUCUCUCCCCAUUGAGUCCAAUGGCAAAAAUAAUAAAAGUUAGCAAUAUCCAUAAAGACCUCCAUACUUUUGAGAGAACUUUUCAUAUACAUUAAUGUUUUAAAGUUUAUAAUUAUUAGUUUCAGGAAAUUUUGAUAUUACUGUGCCUAAUUGAUUGAUGGAACUAGUUUUUUUUCCCCAAAAUCAAAGUACUUAUUCAUUUAAGUAAUUGAUGGAAUUGGAGUUAAAGCUUUUAUAUCAUCACACUACCACCCCAAUGUAUAUUGUAUUCCUUUGGUUAAAAUAGAAAUCACACACUUAUUUUGCAGACUGCACUUAAUAUUGUUUUGCCUCAAGGCUGUUGUUCAAUAACACAUUUAUUUAUCUGAAUUUCAUGAAAAACAACUAUUCAUUCAUGAGAAUAUAGAUUAACUUCAGUCCAUCUUGUAUACUACAUUACUUCAAGGUACAGAACAACUGUGAUUUUGCCCAGUGUAUUUUCUAAGGGAGAUGUACUAAGUUGUAGUAAUCAAUUGAGAAUGAAGUCCAGGUACCUAUUUUUAAAACUUGGUGCACUGUGAGCCUGUUUCCAUCCAAUGUUUCUUGUGGUUUCAUUAUAUCUAAGCCUCAGAAACCCCAUGAAUUAGACACACGCCUUGAAGAGAUGUGUGUAAUACUAAGUGA